Molecule: small nuclear RNA, 114 nt
Organism: Ochotona princeps (American pika)
Lineage: Eukaryota; Metazoa; Chordata; Mammalia; Lagomorpha; Ochotonidae
Product: U5 spliceosomal RNA
Exons: 1
Source: RefSeq, a predicted model, not a curated record
AUACUCUUGUUUCUCUUCAGAUCGUAUAAAUCUUUCGCCUUUUACUAAAGAUUUCCGUGGAGAAGAAUCCCUUUCAUUCUAACUGGACCUAUUGGAGCAGUUCUCCAGCAUUUU